Molecule: ribosomal RNA, 484 nt
Filed under: uncultured bacterium
Lineage: Bacteria
Description: partial 16S ribosomal RNA
Rfam family: Bacterial small subunit ribosomal RNA
Source: RNAcentral
AUUGAACGCUGGCGGCAGGCCUAACACAUGCAAGUCGAGCGGAUGAAGGGAGCUUGCUCCUGGAUUCAGCGGCGGACGGGUGAGUAAUGCCUAGGAAUCUGCCUGGUAGGGGGGGAUAACGUCCGGAAACGGGCGCUAAUACCGCAUACGUCCUGAGGGAGAAAGUGGGGGAUCUUCGGACCUCACGCUAUCAGAUGAGCCUAGGUCGGAUUAGCUAGUUGGUGGGGUAAAGGCCUACCAAGGCGACGAUCCGUAACUGGUCUGAGAGGAUGAUCAGUCACACUGGAACUGAGACACGGUCCAGACUCCUACGGGAGGCAGCAGUGGGGAAUAUUGGACAAUGGGCGAAAGCCUGAUCCAGCCAUGCCGCGUGUGUGAAGAAGGUCUUCGGAUUGAAAAGCACUUUAAGUUGGGAGGAAGGGCAGUAAGUUAAUACCUUGCUGUUUUGACGUUACCAACAGAAUAAGCACCGGCUAACUUCGUG